Molecule: ribosomal RNA, 254 nt
Filed under: uncultured bacterium
Lineage: Bacteria
Description: partial 16S ribosomal RNA
Rfam family: Bacterial small subunit ribosomal RNA
Source: RNAcentral
UACGUAGGGUGCAAGCGUUGUCCGGAAUUAUUGGGCGUAAAGAGCUCGUAGGCGGUGUGUCACGUCGGCCGUGAAAACCUGCAGCUUAACUGUGGGCGUGCGGUCGAUACGGGCAUCACUGGAGUUCGGCAGGGGAGACUGGAAUUCCUGGUGUAGCGGUGAAAUGCGUAGAUAUCGGGAGGAACACCAGUGGCGAAGGCGACUUCCUGGCCUGUUCUUGACGCUGAGGCGCGAAAGCUAGGGUAGCAAACGGG